RNAcentral lists this ribosomal RNA (761 nucleotides) under Prevotella melaninogenica. RNAcentral's name for it is "bacterial SSU rRNA". It matches the Rfam family "Bacterial small subunit ribosomal RNA", at positions 28 to 776 of the family's 1533-position model. Lineage: Bacteria; Pseudomonadati; Bacteroidota; Bacteroidia; Bacteroidales; Prevotellaceae. The record is from RNAcentral.
GAUGAACGCUAGCUACAGGCUUAACACAUGCAAGUCGAGGGGAAACGGCAUUGAGUGCUUGCACUCUUUGGACGUCGACCGGCGCACGGGUGAGUAACGCGUAUCCAACCUUCCCAUUACUGUGGGAUAACCUGCCGAAAGGCAGACUAAUACCGCAUAGUCUUCGAUGACGGCAUCAGAUUUGAAGUAAAGAUUUAUCGGUAAUGGAUGGGGAUGCGUCUGAUUAGCUUGUUGGCGGGGUAACGGCCCACCAAGGCUACGAUCAGUAGGGGUUCUGAGAGGAAGGUCCCCCACAUUGGAACUGAGAUACGGUCCAAACUCCUACGGGAGGCAGCAGUGAGGAAUAUUGGUCAAUGGACGGAAGUCUGAACCAGCCAAGUAGCGUGCAGGAUGACGGCCCUAUGGGUUGUAAACUGCUUUUGUAUGGGGAUAAAGUUAGGGACGUGUCCCUAUUUGCAGGUACCAUACGAAUAAGGACCGGCUAAUUCCGUGCCAGCAGCCGCGGUAAUACGGAAGGUCCAGGCGUUAUCCGGAUUUAUUGGGUUUAAAGGGAGCGUAGGCUGGAGAUUAAGUGUGUUGUGAAAUGUAGACGCUCAACGUCUGAAUUGCAGCGCAUACUGGUUUCCUUGAGUACGCACAACGUUGGCGGAAUUCGUCGUGUAGCGGUGAAAUGCUUAGAUAUGACGAAGAACUCCGAUUGCGAAGGCAGCUGACGGGAGCGCAACUGACGCUUAAGCUCGAAGGUGCGGGUAUCAAACAGG